Molecule: long non-coding RNA, 1093 nt
Filed under: Olea europaea subsp. europaea
Lineage: Eukaryota; Viridiplantae; Streptophyta; Magnoliopsida; Lamiales; Oleaceae
Source: RNAcentral
GUCCUUUUCUAUUCUAUAGGCUAUUUUCAUGUAUUUCCCUCUUUGCAAUUGGAAGGAAAUCCCCGAUUCUAAAGGGCAAACCCUAGGUGAACGUCGUGAUUUGUGGCCCUAAAAUUUGACCCGCAUCUACCAUUGCUAGAACCUAUCAAAGAAGACGUUAUUACGUGAGCUGUUUGGGUAAGUUCUCGAUAACUCCGUUCGUAUGUAAUCACUUUCUCCAAUCCUCUUACAGAAGUUCAUCGAUACAAUGUUGAGAAAAAUUGUACUUGUCAACAUAAUUCGUCUCACGUAAAUCAUUGUUUAAAAAAAAAAAAAAUUAAUGCCCAUCUAUGGAGAUUACCGGAUAGAUGCACCAGUGGACUUAGCCGCAUGUAUUUAGUUUAUAUUUAGGAACAUGGCGUGGGAAAUAUGUGUUUUUCGAGUUAAAUUGAAAUAAUGUGGUUUUUUUCUUUACUGAAUUAUGUGGAUCCGAAAGAAGAUUACAAUGACUGGAAAGAACAAGGGCGUUUGUCACAAUUGUAGGAAGCCCGGACACUACUUGUCGGAUUGCCCAUCGAAGCAACGAUGUCUAGAUUGUGGGUUGGGGUUCGUGAAAUUAUGGAGGUCGAGAAGAAUACUAAAAACAUAGAACGAUUAUUCUUAAGUUGCAAAAGAGAUUGCCGGUUUUUUGAUUGGAAUGAUCUUCGUCAUCGAGGGCAAAAUCAAUGCAAUUUCAAGGAGAAGAUUUGUCGUCCAUGUUCAAGAUAUUUGCUCAAAUAACUUAAGAAAAGACGUGGAGAUAUCCUUAAACAUAAUUAUGCUCGAGGGAAAAUGAUCUAUAUAAGACGUGUUUGUCAUUUUUAUGUUUCUGUAGUAGGCACUAGCUUCAGUUUAAGUUAUAUUUGGUGUAUGUUGUUGGCCACAUUGAAUGUGGGCGUGCAUUAAUCCUAUAAGUGGGCAUACAUUCAAAGAUGUCAACUGGGGAACCUAUAUGCUGAAUUUCAAGCAACACUUUUGCUUAAUUUGUAAUUUGAACUGUAUUUUUAUUCUAUUCAGCAACUGUAUUGAGCUUAUUAGUAAAUGACUUCGUGUUGAGCUUAUUAGGAAAUACAGC